GAGAGGAUGACCAGCCACACUGGAACUGAGACACGGUCCAGACUCCUACGGGAGGCAGCAGUGGGGAAUAUUGCACAAUGGGCGCAAGCCUGAUGCAGCCAUGCCGCGUGUAUGAAGAAGGCCUUCGGGUUGUAAAGUACUUUCAGCGGGGAGGAAGGGAGUAAAGUUAAUACCUUUGCUCAUUGACGUUACCCGCAGAAGAAGCACCGGCUAACUCCGUGCCAGCAGCCGCGGUAAUACGGAGGGUGCAAGCGUUAAUCGGAAUUACUGGGCGUAAAGCGCACGCAGGCGGUUUGUUAAGUCAGAUGUGAAAUCCCCGGGCUCAACCUGGGAACUGCAUCUGAUACUGGCAAGCUUGAGUCUCGUAGAGGGGGGUAGAAUUCCAGGUGUAGCGGUGAAAUGCGUAGAGAUCUGGAGGAAUACCGGUGGCGAAGG
RNAcentral lists this ribosomal RNA (435 nucleotides) under uncultured Pseudomonadota bacterium. RNAcentral's name for it is "bacterial SSU rRNA". It matches the Rfam family "Bacterial small subunit ribosomal RNA", at positions 294 to 721 of the family's 1533-position model. Lineage: Bacteria; Pseudomonadati; Pseudomonadota. The record is from RNAcentral.